UACGAAGGGGGCUAGCGUUGUUCGGAAUCACUGGGCUUAAAGGGUGCGUAGGCGGCGCAGAAAGUUGGGUGUGAAAUCCCUCGGCUUAACCGAGGAAUUGCGCCCAAAACUACUGUGCUCGAGGGAGGUAGAGGUGAGCGGAACUUACGGUGUAGCAGUGAAAUGCGUAGAUAUCGUAAGGAAGACCAGUGGCGAAGGCGAAUCUCUGGACAGUUACUGACACUGAGGCACGAAGGCCAGGGGAGCAAACGGG
RNAcentral lists this ribosomal RNA (253 nucleotides) under uncultured bacterium. Its description in RNAcentral is "partial 16S ribosomal RNA". It matches the Rfam family "Bacterial small subunit ribosomal RNA", at positions 524 to 776 of the family's 1533-position model. The record is from RNAcentral.